CUCUUCCACAAAGAUCUUGCACAAGGGAAAAACAUGUAAUUUAUGUUUGCACAGUUUUGUUUUCUUACUUUCCUCAUCUUCAUAACAUUGCUUUCAGGAAUGGGGCCAUUUAGUCAUUAACAGUGGUUCCUUACUUGAAACAAUUGGAUUGGAGAUGUGACAUGAUGCCCUGGGCGGAGCCUGACAUCUGGCCUCAUGAAGCAGCAAGCAAUGCAGACCUGGUGAUUGAUCAGUUUCAUCUGUCUGAUGGAGGCAUUGCUCUACUUAAAAAAGACGGGAGAAGACGAGGUUGGAGGCAAGGAUUUGUGAAAAACGUGUGGCAGCUGUCCAGGUGCUGAACCUAGACCCAAACAGGAAUCAUCUUUCCACAGGCACAAAGUGGAAGAGGUGGAUUUGAGUCCUGUUUCAUGUCUUUCUGGUGUAUGCCAUGAAACAAACUCAGGUCUUAUUGUUCUUGAGAAAGACUUGUUACCUAAGUGAUAUGACCAGGAAGAAAAGCCCAGAGGACUGAGACGUACUGAGAAGGGAGGAGGACGGUUACUAGGAGCCUCUCUGACCACAGCUCUGUGGUGCUGAUGAGCAGGGGAGCGACAUGCAGACGGCAAAAUGGCAGCAGGCCAGGAAAGAAGGGAAAUGAUGAAGGAGUUGCUCAUGUCUGGACUGAACGAAGAAUCCCGUAUCUAAGAUAUCGCCAGCCUACAGAACUAGACAACUUGUGUCAGAUGGGAAGUAUUCUUAUCUUUCCAGUAGAAGAAAAGUCACUCUACCUUUUCUUUCUUUCAGAGUUUUCUUCAGUCCCUAUGAUGUGGGCAAGUGUGCACUGUCUUCUGUAAUCUGCCCACUCUCCCUCUUUCUGGAACUUUCCCCUACCCACACAUUUACGGGCACAGUUGUGUUCCUAUAGUAUCAUUCUGCUCUUUGGAGGAUCCUGAGGGCUAUGCAUUAGAGGAAAAGCAGCCCCUCUGCUCUAGGAGAUUUUGACUUUUGGCUUUUCAUGUGUAUUUGCUUUUAUCAAAGCAGAGAAUUUGCAACUGGCUGGGUACAAUUGUACUUGGACAUUGUGCUGGGUCUUGGGGACAUCCUAAGCUGCUGCCUGGGAAUGCCAGUUUCUCAUAAAGAUUUACAAAUCAAAUCUAGCAGCUUCCCUGCUUAAGUAAAAAAAAUUACAUAAUUUCUUCUGUACCGCUGCAUUAGGCAGUUUUUUUUUUUUCUUUUCCUGAAUGUACUAUAAAUCUAGGGUGAUUUAAGCCAUGGUGCCUUUCCUUAAACACAACUUGAAAUUGCUACCAAAUUUAAAUAAAAAAUAAAUUCUAUGUCA
Molecule: long non-coding RNA, 1318 nt
Organism: Cavia porcellus (domestic guinea pig)
Lineage: Eukaryota; Metazoa; Chordata; Mammalia; Rodentia; Caviidae
Exons: 3
Source: RefSeq, a predicted model, not a curated record